RNAcentral lists this ribosomal RNA (372 nucleotides) under uncultured organism. RNAcentral describes it as "partial 16S ribosomal RNA". It matches the Rfam family "Bacterial small subunit ribosomal RNA", at positions 527 to 896 of the family's 1533-position model. The record is from RNAcentral.
GGAGGGUGCAAACGUUGUCCGGAAUUACUGGGCGUAAAGGGCGCGUAGGCGGACUUGUAAGUCAGGAGUGAAAACUCAGGGGCUCAACCCUGAGCCUGCUUCUGAGACUGCAAGUCUUGAGGACCGGAGAGGAAAGUGGAAUUCCUAGUGUAGCGGUGGAAUGCGUAGAUAUUAGGAAGAACACCAGUGGCGAAGGCGACUUUCUGGACGGUACCUGACGCUGAGGCGCGAAAGCUAGGGGAGCAAACAGGAUUAGAUACCCUGGUAGUCCUAGCUGUAAACGAUGAGUGCUAGGUGGUGGUAGUUUCAACGCUUUCACUGCCGAAGCUAACGCAUUAAGCACUCCGCCUGGGGAGUACGGCCGCAAGGUUG